ACUCCUACGGGAGGCAGCAGUGAGGAAUAUUGGUCAAUGGACGCAAGUCUGAACCAGCCAUGCCGCGUGAAGGAUGAAGGCCUUCUGGGUUGUAAACUUCUUUUAUUGGGGAAGAAAAUUACGGUUUCUACUGUAACCGACGGUACCCAAGGAAUCAGCACCGGCUAACUCCGUGCCAGCAGCCGCGGUAAUACGGAGGGUGCAAGCGUUAUCCGGAUUCACUGGGUUUAAAGGGUGUGUAGGCGGGUAUUUAAGUCAGUGGUGAAAUCUCCAGGCUCAACCUGGAAACUGCCAUUGAUACUAUUUAUCUUGAAUAUCGUUGAGGUUGGCGGAAUAUAUCAUGUAGCGGUGAAAUGCAUAGAUAUGAUAUAGAACACCGAUUGCGAAGGCAGCUAACUAAGCGAUUAUUGACGCUGAGGCACGAAAGCGUGGGGAUCAAACAGGAUUAGAUACCCUGGUAGUCCACGCCCUAAACUAUGAUUACUCGACAUACGCGAUACACAGUGUGUGUCUGAGCGAAAGCAUUAAGUAAUCCACCUGGGAAGUACGUCCGCAAGGAUGAAACUUAAAGGAAUUGACGG
RNAcentral lists this ribosomal RNA (581 nucleotides) under uncultured Sphingobacteriia bacterium. Its description in RNAcentral is "bacterial SSU rRNA". It matches the Rfam family "Bacterial small subunit ribosomal RNA", at positions 335 to 916 of the family's 1533-position model. The record is from RNAcentral. Lineage: Bacteria; Pseudomonadati; Bacteroidota; Sphingobacteriia.